CAUAUUAGUUCCGUUCAGCUCUCGUACAAUAUCGCUACAACAUGAAGGCCUUCUUCGUCGCUGCCUUGGUGGCAAUAGUUUCAAGUCAAGCGCCAAAUGAAUCACAACACAACGUUCAGCACCAGCACCUGGAUUACAAUCCGGAAUACGCUUCUCCAGAUUAUUACAAGCCCCUCUAUCAACACCGACCUUAUUACGGCUACCAUGCACCAGAAAAUAAACCAGCAUCCAUCUCCGCAAUCGUCAAGUUUCUUGUAAAAUUCCAUUUCCUGCCAAAGUAUUGACGUUUGCUCUUUAAAUUGUUUUUAAUUCUUUCGCUUGUGGUUGCAAUUGCUUUGCAUUUAGUGAUGUCCAGCGAACUUGUGAUUUGUGUAAACUAGGAAAUAUCGUAAAUAUCACGGUACAUCUAAAGUAUAUUUUAUUUUGAAAUAAAGUUAAUUUCUUUCGACAAA
Daphnia pulex (common water flea) is the source of this 452-nucleotide long non-coding RNA. RefSeq lists it as uncharacterized. The record is from RefSeq and is a predicted model, not a curated record. Lineage: Eukaryota; Metazoa; Arthropoda; Branchiopoda; Diplostraca; Daphniidae. The transcript has 2 exons.